CGUCAAGUCAUCAUGCCCCUUAUGCCCUGGGCUACACACGUGCUACAUUGGCCGGUACAAAGGGCUGCAAACCCGCGAGGGGGAGCGAAUCCCAAAAAGCCGGUCUCAGUUCGGAUUGCAGGCUGCAACUCGCCUGCAUGAAGCUGGAAUCGCUAGUAAUCGCGGAUCAGCACGCCGCGGUGAAUACGUUCCCGGGCCUU
This 200-nucleotide ribosomal RNA is filed under the name uncultured organism. Its description in RNAcentral is "partial small subunit ribosomal RNA". It matches the Rfam family "Bacterial small subunit ribosomal RNA", at positions 1183 to 1382 of the family's 1533-position model. The record is from RNAcentral.